ACAGGAAAUCCAACGUCAAUCGGUUCAGCUUCUAGACAUCGAAUAGACGUCGGAUCCCCUGAAACCCGACGUCUAAUGGGUAUUCAAAAAGUCAGUAUUAAUGUUAACUUGAACGUCAUAUUAGUUACAUACCCAACGUCUAUGUGACUAUAGACGUCGGGUUAUUGACCAACCGACACCCCAUUUCAUUUUAAAUAAACCGUAGACUCUUCGUGGCAUUCAGUUUCUGAUAUCGUGUCUUCAUCUUCUCCUUUUUCUCUCGCGGCCUCUUCUUUUUCUCGCUUGCGGCACCUCUUCUUUUUCUCUCUUACGGCAUUCCGUUGUUGUUUCUGAUAUCUCCAUCGUCUUCCUCCUCUCCUUUUUCUCUCUUGCGACAACCCAGGUGCGUGGUUUUUUUUAUGCUUAUCGUUUCAACUUUGUUUACUCUUUCAUUGAUUAUCUUCUUCUGGUUCAACUGAUGAAAAUUUGCUUUCUUUGUGUUGUGUUUUAGUGCAGUUUUGUUCCUUUCUUGGGGUAACGUAGUAACACCUUCUCCAUUUGC
RNAcentral lists this long non-coding RNA (541 nucleotides) under Vigna radiata. RNAcentral describes it as "long non-coding RNA (VRAD_LNC001907)". Lineage: Eukaryota; Viridiplantae; Streptophyta; Magnoliopsida; Fabales; Fabaceae. The record is from RNAcentral.